AUUCGGCUGUGGGGUGGGGCUGAGCUGGGCUCCUCCCCUCCCCAGACCCCAUUUAAGGGCUGGGAAGUGAAGGGGGCAGCAUCUGAACUUGGGAGUGCUUCCUUGAGGGUCUGAGGUGAGUCCUUUUGUAUGGGAGGGCUGUGAUCUCCCCCUUUCUUGGGGGAUCCUGGCCACAUUUUGAGGCUGGCAACCAUCUGUACUUGGAAACUGCUUCUUUUGGGGUGUGGGUGGCAGCAGAGAGCUGCAGCACUCCCGGGUUCUGUAACGACUGCACGGAGAGAUGUGCGGGUCUUCACGGGAACAGCAAGGAACCGAAAGCUGCAUUUCCUGGGAUGCCCUGGAACCCCACUUUGCUGACUGGUAAUUGUCUGCCCAGCAGGUGGCAGCAGAGAGCUGCAGCACUCCCGGGUUCUGUAACGACUGCACGGAGAGAUGUGCGGGUCUUCACGGGA
Molecule: long non-coding RNA, 452 nt
Filed under: Gallus gallus (chicken)
Lineage: Eukaryota; Metazoa; Chordata; Aves; Galliformes; Phasianidae
Description: lncRNA (ENSGALG00010007612.1)
Source: RNAcentral